RNAcentral lists this long non-coding RNA (2009 nucleotides) under Equus caballus (horse). RNAcentral's name for it is "lncRNA (ENSECAG00000048025.1)". Lineage: Eukaryota; Metazoa; Chordata; Mammalia; Perissodactyla; Equidae. The record is from RNAcentral.
AAACAAAUGUAAGUUCAAAACACUAAUUCCUCAGCCUCAAUUAUCCUAUUGAUUUUAAUAUAAACAGGAAGAAAAAUCAUGGUAAAUAAAAAUCGAGGUUUCCCAUGAAAGAAGUUGCCUGUUGCCUGCAGAGGGGCUGUGAGAGACCCAGACCCGUUCCUGGACUCAUCUCUGCCCAAUACGGACACUGGUCAGGAGCGGGCUAGGGUUGGUGUGCAGAUCCCUCAGCUCCAGCCAUGGCCCAGGGGUUCACCUAGACCAGCUGGUGCAGUUAUCUUUAAGGUAUCUGUGAAUCGGAAGGACUUAAGAUUUCUCCCUCACUGCUGCCAGCCUGGAGGCCCUGCAGUCUCUCCUCUCCAUACACUCACCGGGUCUUCUCCAAGGUCUCCUCCCACUGACGGCCCCGGACCUCACGGCCAGGAUGGGAAGUUAUCCUAGUACCUGGCCUCCGGAAUAUGCAGCUGCUCAGCCUUCAGCAUGUACAGAGCUGCAGGUUUCUGCUUGGUUUUAGUUCAUUGUUUCCACCAUAAAAUUGGGGCAUAUUUUUUGAACUUUCCCUUUAAAAAUAAAAUGUGAAAUUUGAACAAAAUGGGGGAUGAAGACUACCAUCCAUGGAGAAUGUUCUCAGCUCAUGUGGCUAUUCCACCCUCCUUCCCUCCCAGAAGAAUGUGUCUCAAAUGUGAAUCACAAUCAUCUGGAGGGUUUUUAAAACUCAGAUUGCUGGACCUCAACUCAAGUCAAUCUGGGGUGGGAAUGGAGAACGUUCAUUUCUAAGAUGUUCCUAGGUGCUGUUGAUGCUGCUAGUAUAGGUACCACAUGUUGAGAAUGGGAUUCUGGGACAUCAUCAAGCCCAUGUGAGACACAGACAGAAAGCUCAAGGUCAUUAUCCAGUGUCAAAUCCAGACAAACCUCCCUCCUCCAUCUUGCUUCAGGAUGUUACUCUCUCCCCUUCUCUGUCAUUGUCAACUACACACAUUCUGGUACCAAGUAACCCACUAUCAUUGGGACACAGUGAUCCAAGGGCCCCGUAGCUACUUUUAGAGUGCCAUCUCUAAUGAGAUCAUGCACUGUUCCACUCUUAGAUACCCUCCACAGCAAAAUCCUGUCUUAACCCCACAUUCUCCUCACAAAUCAGGAACUCAAACACCACAUUCCCACCACAAAUCUCCAGUUCCUGUUUUUACACAAAGAACUCUACUGUAAAUAACCAACCUUCAAGAAAACACUUUACUCCAGUAUGAACAUCUUCACAGGGCUCUCUCCUUUCUCUCUUCCUAUUCCUUUCUUUCAAUCUUGGAUUCUGUGGUCCAUCAUUUCAAUCAUCCACUGACCAUGCUUCCAGAUUCAUCACUCCCAUCACAUUGGCCCUGUAAGCCUCUGACUUUGGAUAAUUUCAAAUACCUGCCAUGCCACAUUGACACCUGCACUGAGGAUCACCACCGAAGAGAGAGCACACGAGGAGUCUGUGGAUCCCAACAGAGAAUCAAGAGCAACCAGUGGGCCUAUGUGCGUUCUCUAACAUGCCAUGAAUGCUCUGUUAAUUUCUUUCCAUUUCUUGAGUUCCAUAAAAGUCUAUUUCUUCCUGACCUACUUCAUAUUUCACAGAUAAAUUGUUAACAACCUAGACAAGAACUGUAUCACUCUCAGGUCAUCAGAUCUACAAAUAUUCCUCAUCGGGAAUUCAUUUAUCACAACUUUUCUGUUGUUAUAACCAAAUAAAUUUGUUUCUCAGCUGAAACCAUUCUGAUUUUUAGCUCAUCCUUCAAUCUCAAUGACCUUAUGCCCUCCAUAUUUGAAGUACUUUCAUUUACUUCCUUACUGUACAAAUCUCUACCAUCUACAAACCAAUCCCUCAUCCAGCAUUCCUAAUACUCCUCACCCUCCAUGUUCUCCCUCUCCUCCUCUUGCCAGGGAUUCAUCCAUCCCAGAGCCUCUAUUUCCAAAGUGCCCACCCAAUCCCAUAUCCACAUUCUGUGGAUGCUUCUUUGGCUAUGCUUACAAGCCCAAUG